GACGAACGCUGGCGGCGUGCCUAAUACAUGCAAGUAGAACGCUGAAGGAAGAGCUUGCUUCUCUGGAUGAGUUGCGAACGGGUGAGUAACGCGUAGGUAACCUGCCUGGUAGCGGGGGAUAACUAUUGGAAACGAUAGCUAAUACCGCAUAAUAGUAGAUGUCGCAUGACAUUUGCUUAAAAGGUGCAAUUGCAUCACUACCAGAUGGACCUGCGUUGUAUUAGCUAGUUGGUGAGGUAACGGCUCACCAGGGCAACGAUACAUAGCCGACCUGAGAGGGUGAUCGGCCACACUGGGACUGAGACACGGCCCAGACUCCUACGGGAGGCAGCAGUAGGGAAUCUUCGGCAAUGGACGGAAGUCUGACCGAGCAACGCCGCGUGAGUGAAGAAGGUUUUCGGAUCGUAAAGCUCUGUUGUAAGAGAAGAACGAGUGUGAGAGUGGAAAGUUCACACUGUGAC
Molecule: ribosomal RNA, 461 nt
Filed under: Streptococcus mitis
Lineage: Bacteria; Bacillati; Bacillota; Bacilli; Lactobacillales; Streptococcaceae
Description: bacterial SSU rRNA
Rfam family: Bacterial small subunit ribosomal RNA
Source: RNAcentral